UUCCGUAGGUGAACCUGCUGCUGGAUCAUUACA
RNAcentral lists this ribosomal RNA (33 nucleotides) under Rotylenchulus macrodoratus. RNAcentral's name for it is "partial 18S ribosomal RNA". Lineage: Eukaryota; Metazoa; Nematoda; Chromadorea; Rhabditida; Hoplolaimidae. The record is from RNAcentral.